Molecule: ribosomal RNA, 250 nt
Filed under: uncultured bacterium
Lineage: Bacteria
Description: partial 16S ribosomal RNA
Rfam family: Bacterial small subunit ribosomal RNA
Source: RNAcentral
GACAGAGGUGGCAAGCGUUGUUCGGAAUUACUGGGCUUAAAGGGCGCGUAGGUGUCCCGACAAGUCAGAUGUGGAAGCUUCCGGCUUAACCGGAAAAUUGCAUCUGAAACUGUCGGGAUUGAGUCAGCAAGGGGAUGGCGGAAUUCCAGGUGUAGCGGUGAAAUGCGUAGAUAUCUGGAGGAAGGCCGGUGGCGAAGGCGGCCAUCUGGUGCUGAACUGACACUGAGGCGCGAAAGCGUGGGGAGCAAAC